RNAcentral lists this ribosomal RNA (441 nucleotides) under uncultured Scytonema sp. RNAcentral describes it as "bacterial SSU rRNA". It matches the Rfam family "Bacterial small subunit ribosomal RNA", at positions 271 to 728 of the family's 1533-position model. Lineage: Bacteria; Bacillati; Cyanobacteriota; Cyanophyceae; Nostocales; Scytonemataceae. The record is from RNAcentral.
AGGCGUCGAUCAGUAGCUGGUCUGAGAGGAUGAUCAGCCACACUGGGACUGAGACACGGCCCAGACUCCUACGGGAGGCAGCAGUGGGGAAUUUUCCGCAAUGGGCGAAAGCCUGACGGAGCAAUACCGCGUGAGGGAGGGAGGCUCUUGGGUUGUAAACCUCUUUUCUCAGGGAAGAAUGAUGUCGGUACCUGAGGAAUAAGCAUCGGCUAACUCCGUGCCAGCAGCCGCGGUAAUACGGAGGAUGCAAGCGUUAUCCGGAAUGAUUGGGCGUAAAGCGUCCGCAGGUGGCAAUGUAAGUCUGCUGUCAAAGCGUCUGGCUCAACCAGAUAAAGGCAGUGGAAACUACAUAGCUAGAGUAAGGUAGGGGUAGAGGGAAUUCCUGGUGUAGCGGUGAAAUGCGUAGAGAUCAGGAAGAACACCGGUGGCGAAAGCGCUCUG